Scleropages formosus (Asian bonytongue) is the source of this 402-nucleotide long non-coding RNA. RefSeq lists it as uncharacterized. NCBI's taxonomy places the organism in Eukaryota, Metazoa, Chordata, Actinopteri, Osteoglossiformes, Osteoglossidae. The transcript is spliced from 4 exons. The record is from RefSeq and is a predicted model, not a curated record.
AGAUGAGGUACGAUCGUGGUCUUCUUGGGUCUCUUGUUGCAUCACUUCUGUUUUGCUUGGCUUUCUCAAAAAGGGAUGCACAAAACUGCAAGCAGUGCGCAGGUGAAAGCUGGGCUGGUUGCAAUGGAACAGAAAAAAUAUGUGUUGCGCAACAGAAGUGUGUUUCAGUUGCAUCCGAGUCAAUAGAAAAUGUCUUGGAAGAUAAAGACGAAGUAAAGAAAAUCACCAAAAAAGUUGCACGGAAUUGCGCAAGUCCUGACUUUUGUGAUGCAGAUUUAUCCAUGAACUUCAAAUAUGCUGUAUGGAAGAUAAGGACAACAUGCUUGAGUGAUCAAGUACACAUCACAGUGGCAGAGGAGGCUCCUGCGAAUGGCCGCAAGUGCAUCGGCUGCAUUGCUGCAC